This 468-nucleotide ribosomal RNA is filed under the name uncultured bacterium. RNAcentral describes it as "partial 16S ribosomal RNA". It matches the Rfam family "Bacterial small subunit ribosomal RNA", at positions 28 to 507 of the family's 1533-position model. The record is from RNAcentral.
GACGAACGCUGGCGGCGUGCUUAACACAUGCAAGUCGAACGGAAAGGCCCUGCUUUUGUGGGGUGCUCGAGUGGCGAAAGGGUGAGUAACACGUGAGUAACCUGCCCUUGACUUCGGGAUAACUUCAGGAAACUGGGGCGAAUACCGGAUAGGAGCUCCUGCUGCAGGGUGGGGGUUGGAAAGCUUCGGCGGUUGGGGAUGGACUCGCGGCUUAUCAGCUUGUUGGUGGGGUAGUGGCUUACCAAGGCUUUGACGGGUAGCCGGCCUGAGAGGGUGACCGGCCACAUUGGGACUGAGCUCCGGCCCAGACUCCUACGUGAGGCAGCAGUGGGGAAUAUUGCACAAUGGGCGGAAGCCUGAUGCAGCAACGCCGCGUGCGGGAUGACGGCCUUCGGGUUGUAGACCGCUUUCGCCUGUGACGAAGCGUGAGUGACGGUAAUGGGUAAAGAAGCACCGGCUAACUACGUG